UGGGGGAUAUUGCACAAUGGGCGAAAGCCUGAUGCAGCAACGCCGCGUGAGGGAAGACGGUCUUCGGAUUGUAAACCUUUAACUUUGGAGAAGAAAGAAAUGACGGUAUCCAAAGGGGCAGCCACGGCUAACUACGUGCCAGCAGCCGCGGUAAUACGUAGGUGGCAAGCGUUGUCCGGAAUUACUGGGUGUAAAGGGAGCGCAGGCGGGGAAGCAAGUCGGCUGUGAAAUGCAUAGGCUUAACCUAUGAAUUGCAGUUGAAACUGUUUUUCUUGAGUGGAGUAGAGGUAGGCGGAAUUCCGAGUGUAGCGGUGAAAUGCGUAGAUAUUCGGAGGAACACCAGUGGCGAAGGCGGCCUACUGGGCUCUAACUGACGCUGAGGCUCGAAAGUGUGGGGAGCAAACAGG
This 407-nucleotide ribosomal RNA is filed under the name uncultured bacterium. Its description in RNAcentral is "bacterial SSU rRNA". It matches the Rfam family "Bacterial small subunit ribosomal RNA", at positions 355 to 776 of the family's 1533-position model. The record is from RNAcentral.